GAAGAGAGCCAAUGGAAGGACUUUGUUUGACCCAGCUGCCAAUCUCCCCUGAAGCCGUGCGCCAGACUAAACACUCACACUAUUUUAACUCAAAUCAGGCUACAGCAGCUGUUUGCUUUCCGGCUCUGAGCUCUGCACCCACGAUGGCCUGUGCCGUUUACCCAGCGAGCUCUGCUAGCUGCCUGGCUGGAAUCUGUUCCGGGUUGGGAGUUGUCAUUGGAGAGCACGUUUUAACCCUCUUCCUCGUGGUAAAUGUGGACCGUUUGUUGUUCGGCAUUUGGAUCGGCCUUUGUGUGCAUCAGGAACAAGGCCCCUACCACGCACCUCUAAGAACAAAGAUGGUACCUAUUCACCCCGACCCAGACUUCUUCGACCCUAGCAAGAUGGAAAGUUGGCAUCAGAGGAGCGGAGAGACUCACGUCAUUCUAAGAGUCAGUACUGACUGCUUAAUGCUCCCGCGAGUUCCUCCAGAAGCAACACCCAAGCACGCAAGUGUUGGAUUUUGUCCAAGAGAGCAUGUAAUUUAUGAAGGAAGUGUACGUCAUUCACAUUUUCCAGAAAAGAGGACAAAAAACAGAUUAGCCCUGAGCUAACACCUGCUGCCAAUCCUCCUCUUUUUGCUGAAGAAGACUGGCCCUGAGCUAACAUACGUGCCCAUCUUCCUCUACUUUAUAUGUGGGACGCCUGCC
RNAcentral lists this long non-coding RNA (689 nucleotides) under Equus caballus (horse). RNAcentral describes it as "lncRNA (ENSECAG00000056601.1)". The record is from RNAcentral. Lineage: Eukaryota; Metazoa; Chordata; Mammalia; Perissodactyla; Equidae.